UACUGAGCCAUAACGGGAGCUACAAGGUAAUGGAGCCUUUUAUACAUAGUCGUGUUUCUUUAGAUAAUAAACAACGAACAAAUGAAAUCUUUAAAAGCUUCAGAUGUAAAGUUAUUCCCUGUUAAAGUGGCG
Molecule: long non-coding RNA, 132 nt
Organism: Etheostoma cragini (Arkansas darter)
Lineage: Eukaryota; Metazoa; Chordata; Actinopteri; Perciformes; Percidae
Exons: 3
Source: RefSeq, a predicted model, not a curated record